GUUUGGGAGACACUGGUCUAGAGGUGGUAGGACUGAGUUUGGGAAACACUGGUCUAGACGUGGCAGGACUGAGUUUGGGAAACACUGGUCUAGACGUGGCAGGACUGAGUUUGGGAAACACUGGUCUAGACGUGGCAGGACUGAGUUUGGGAGACACUGGUCUAGAGGUGGCAGGACUGAGUUUGGGAAACACUGGUCUAGACGUGGCAGGACUAAGUUUGGGAGACCCUGGUCUAGACGUGGUAGGACUGAGUUUGGGAAACACUGGUCUAGACGUGGCAGGACUGAGUUUGGGAGACACUGGUCUAGAGGUGGUAGGACUGAGUUUGGGAAACACUGGUCUAGACGUGGUAGGACUGAGUCUGGGAGACCCUGGUCUAGACGUGGCAGGACUGAGUUUGGGAGACCCUGGUCUAGACGUGGUAGGACUGAGUCUGGGAGACCCUGG
Long non-coding RNA from Oncorhynchus tshawytscha (Chinook salmon), 448 nucleotides. NCBI's taxonomy places the organism in Eukaryota, Metazoa, Chordata, Actinopteri, Salmoniformes, Salmonidae. The record is from Ensembl.